This 461-nucleotide ribosomal RNA is filed under the name uncultured bacterium. RNAcentral describes it as "partial 16S ribosomal RNA". It matches the Rfam family "Bacterial small subunit ribosomal RNA", at positions 338 to 795 of the family's 1533-position model. The record is from RNAcentral.
CCUACGGGCGGCAGCAGUGAGGAAUAUUGGUCAAUGGGCGAGAGCCUGAACCAGCCAAGUCGCGUGAAGGAUGACGGCCCUACGGGUUGUAAACUUCUUUUGUCAGGGAGCAAUUGAGUCCACGUGUGGUCUUAGCGAGAGUACCUGAAGAAAAAGCAUCGGCUAACUCCGUGCCAGCAGCCGCGGUAAUACGUAGGGGGCAAGCGUUAUCCGGAUUUACUGGGUGUAAAGGGAGCGUAGACGGUUAUGUAAGUCUGGAGUGAAAGCCCGGGGCCCAACCCCGGGACUGCUUUGGAAACUGUGUAACUGGAGUACAGGAGGGGCAGGCGGAAUUGCUGGUGUAGCGGUGAAAUGCGUAGAUAUCAGGAGGAACACCGGCGGCGAAGGCGGCCUGCUGGACUGAAACUGACGUUGAGGCUCGAAAGCGUGGGGAGCAAACAGGAUUAGAUACCCGAGUAGUC